UAAAUACAGUUGAUUGAGAAGGACUUUAUGGCAGUGACAACUUGAAGUGGAUCUUCAGAAAUGAAAGAAAAUUCGGUUAUUUCUUUAAUGAAACACCCCACUCACAAAUCGUGAACGAGGACCAGCGUACAUGCGGACUAUUUGCUGCUCUUCUUAUGACAAGUGGAGUUGGAUAACUGGAUGUGGUUAUCCUGCAGUGUUAUUUUAGCACUAUUGCUCCUUGACUAAGUUGCUAUACCAGGAUUUAGAAGAGGACACUAAAGUGAAUGGAAGAUAAUGCCAUCAGACCCUGUGUCAAACCUUCAUUUUAUCCACUGAAAUCAUGGGCACUAGUGAGCAAUGCAGCACAUUGUAGAACGCCUGCGAAGUUGACCUUUACCAACUAGACUUUGAUUUAAACUAUUUUGAAGGUUUGUUUUCUAGGUGUUGACAUUUAGUAGAGUUGUAUUUUUGCAUUCCUACAUUCCUUGCCAUGAUCGAGUGACCCAUUGCCAGAAAGUGCGGUUUAGGAGGUCACUACCUGCACCUGAACUAUGAUAUAAAAGUUGAUCUUCUCAUUUUCCAAGACUCUGAAUAAAUACCAAAAUGAAUAGUGAGAGCUCCAAGACCAAGUGACAACAACACUGGAGAAAUCUGUC
Molecule: long non-coding RNA, 638 nt
Organism: Polypterus senegalus (gray bichir)
Lineage: Eukaryota; Metazoa; Chordata; Cladistia; Polypteriformes; Polypteridae
Exons: 3
Source: RefSeq, a predicted model, not a curated record